AACGAACGCUGGCGGCAUGCCUAACACAUGCAAGUCGAACGAGACCUUCGGGUCUAGUGGCGCACGGGUGCGUAACGCGUGGGAACCUGCCCUUAGGUUCGGAAUAACUCCCCGAAAGGGGUGCUAAUACCGGAUAAUGUCUUCGGACCAAAGAUUUAUCGCCUUUGGAUGGGCCCGCGUUGGAUUAGCUAGUUGGUAGGGUAAAAGCCUACCAAGGCGACGAUCCAUAGCUGGUUUGAGAGGAUGAUCAGCCACACUGGGACUGAGACACGGCCCAGAAUCCUACGGGAGGCAGCAGUGGGGAAUAUUGGAAAAUGGGCGAAAGCCUGAUCCAGCAAUGCCGGGUGAGUGAUGAAGGCCUUAGGGUUGUAAAGCUCUUUUACCCGGGAUGAUAAUGACAGUACCGGGAGAAUAAGCUCCGGCUAACUCCGUG
This 433-nucleotide ribosomal RNA is filed under the name uncultured bacterium. RNAcentral's name for it is "partial 16S ribosomal RNA". It matches the Rfam family "Bacterial small subunit ribosomal RNA", at positions 29 to 507 of the family's 1533-position model. The record is from RNAcentral.